CGCGGCCUAUCAGCUUGUUGGUGGGGUAAUGGCCUACCAAGGCGGCGACGGGUAGCCGGCCUGAGAGGGUGUACGGCCACAUUGGGACUGAGAUACGGCCCAGACUCCUACGGGAGGCAGCAGUGGGGAAUAUUGCACAAUGGGCGCAAGCCUGAUGCAGCGACGCCGCGUGGGGGAUGAAGGUCUUCGGGUUGUAAACUCCUUUCGCUAGGGACGAAGCUUUUUGUGACGGUACCUAGAUAAGAAGCACCGGCUAACUACGUGCCAGCAGCCGCGGUAAUACGUAGGGUGCGAGCGUUGUCCGGAAUUACUGGGCGUAAAGGGCUCGUAGGUGGUUUGUCGCGUCGUCUGUGAAAUUCUGGGGCUUAACUCCGGGCGUGCAGGCGAUACGGGCAUAACUUGAGUGCUGUAGGGGUAACUGGAAUUCCUGGUGUAGCGGUGAAAUGCGCAGAUAUCAGGAGGAACACCGAUGGCGAAGGCAGGUUACUGGGCAGUUACUGACGCUGAGGAGCGAAAGCAUGGGUAGCGAACAGGAUUAGAUACCCUGGUAGUCCAUGCCGUAAACGGUGGGCGCUAGGUGUGAGGGUCUUUCUACGACUUUCGUGCCGUAGCUAACGCAUUAAGCGCCCCGCCUGGGGAGUACGG
RNAcentral lists this ribosomal RNA (645 nucleotides) under uncultured bacterium. RNAcentral describes it as "bacterial SSU rRNA". It matches the Rfam family "Bacterial small subunit ribosomal RNA", at positions 232 to 885 of the family's 1533-position model. The record is from RNAcentral.